RNAcentral lists this ribosomal RNA (474 nucleotides) under uncultured bacterium. RNAcentral describes it as "bacterial SSU rRNA". It matches the Rfam family "Bacterial small subunit ribosomal RNA", at positions 335 to 803 of the family's 1533-position model. The record is from RNAcentral.
ACUCCUACGGGAGGCAGCAGUGGGGAAUAUUGCACAAUGGGCGCAAGCCUGAUGCAGCCAUGCCGCGUGUAUGAAGAAGGCCUUCGGGUUGUAAAGUACUUUCAGCAGUGAGGAAGGUGGAGUCGUUAAUAGCGGCCUCAUUUGACGUUAGCUGCAGAAGAAGCACCGGCUAACUCCGUGCCAGCAGCCGCGGUAAUACGGAGGGUGCGAGCGUUAAUCGGAAUUACUGGGCGUAAAGCGCACGCAGGCGGCUUGUUAAGCUAGAGGUGAAAGCCCCGCGCUCAACGUGGGAACUGCCUUUAGAACUGGCAGGCUAGAGUCUUGGAGAGGGGAGUGGAAUUCCAGGUGUAGCGGUGAAAUGCGUAGAUAUCUGGAGGAACAUCAGUGGCGAAGGCGGCUCCCUGGCCAAAGACUGACGCUCAUGUGCGAAAGUGUGGGUAGCGAACAGGAUUAGAUACCCUGGUAGGAUAGCGU